UACGUAUGGUGCAAGCGUUAUCCGGAUUUACUGGGUGUAAAGGGAGCGCAGGCGGUGCGGCAAGUCUGAUGUGAAAGCCCGGGGCUCAACCCCGGGACUGCAUUGGAAACUACCGUACUAGAGUGUCGGAGAGGUAAGUGGAAUUCCUAGUGUAGCGGUGAAAUGCGUAGAUAUUAGGAGGAACACCAGUGGCGAAGGCGGCUUACUGGACGAUAACUGACGCUGAGGCUCGAAAGCGUG
RNAcentral lists this ribosomal RNA (240 nucleotides) under uncultured bacterium. RNAcentral's name for it is "partial 16S ribosomal RNA". It matches the Rfam family "Bacterial small subunit ribosomal RNA", at positions 524 to 763 of the family's 1533-position model. The record is from RNAcentral.